GAGAUAUUAGUAAACAAAAUUACAUAACUUUGUCAAAGUUAAAUUAUAGAUUAGCCUCUAUAUAUCUUA
This 69-nucleotide transfer RNA is filed under the name Myopus schisticolor (wood lemming). RNAcentral describes it as "tRNA-Asp". The record is from RNAcentral. Lineage: Eukaryota; Metazoa; Chordata; Mammalia; Rodentia; Cricetidae.